CCUACGGGUGGCAGCAGUGGGGAAUAUUGCACAAUGGGCGCAAGCCUGAUGCAGCCAUGCCGCGUGUGUGAAGAAGGCCUUCGGGUUGUAAAGCACUUUCAGCGGGGAGGAAGGCGGUGAGGUUAAUAACCUCAUCGAUUGACGUUACCCGCAGAAGAAGCACCGGCUAACUCCGUGCCAGCAGCCGCGGUAAUACGGAGGGUGCAAGCGUUAAUCGGAAUUACUGGGCGUAAAGCGCACGCAGGCGGUCUGUCAAGUCGGAUGUGAAAUCCCCGGGCUCAACCUGGGAACUGCAUUCGAAACUGGCAGGCUAGAGUCUUGUAGAGGGGGGUAGAAUUCCAGGUGUAGCGGUGAAAUGCGUAGAGAUCUGGAGGAAUACCGGUGGCGAAGGCGGCCCCCUGGACAAAGACUGACGCUCAGGUGCGAAAGCGUGGGGAGCAAACAGGAUUAGAUACCCGAGUAGUC
This 465-nucleotide ribosomal RNA is filed under the name uncultured Klebsiella sp. RNAcentral describes it as "bacterial SSU rRNA". It matches the Rfam family "Bacterial small subunit ribosomal RNA", at positions 338 to 795 of the family's 1533-position model. The record is from RNAcentral. Lineage: Bacteria; Pseudomonadati; Pseudomonadota; Gammaproteobacteria; Enterobacterales; Enterobacteriaceae.